Long non-coding RNA from Pteropus alecto (black flying fox), 1772 nucleotides. RefSeq lists it as uncharacterized. The record is from RefSeq and is a predicted model, not a curated record. NCBI's taxonomy places the organism in Eukaryota, Metazoa, Chordata, Mammalia, Chiroptera, Pteropodidae. The transcript has 2 exons.
GAGUCGUUGAACUCCUCUGCGUCAGGGGCGGCCGGGAACCAUCCUUCCCAAGCCCGGAGGCUGGACUUUACAGCAAGACGGGGCGGAGAGCCCACGAGAGUGACCCUCACGGGAGUGGACGCCCCCCUUCCCUCGACGAUCGCUGGCUCGUCCCGGAGGCGAGUGGCCUGCAGUCCGAUCUUCAGCCAGGAGACCACGAUUCGCCGGGGACUCGGGAUUUGGUCUUCCCAGGACCGUGCUGCGGCGCCAGGGCCCUGAGCCAUAAGGGGGUGGGGGGAGGGGUGGGGAGAUCCCAGCACUGAACCCUUCUGCGCGGCUCUCUCUUGUGUAUCCUACAUGCAGGGGUGACACGGGCUUUCCCCCUCCAAGACUCAGAGAAAGGAGGGAGCUGCAGGGGCUCUUAAAUAAGCUGAAGCUCUCACAGGGAGGAGGGCACCAAAAGUAGCGGAGCUCAGUGCCCCCACCCAAGAGGUUUCCUGUUGCAGCCCUAAGUAUCUGGAUAUGGGUCAGGGAAGAAGGAAGGGCAAGAGCCAUGCCUCUGUCCUUCAAUCCUUGACUGUCUCCUCAGUUUUUUAGGAAGAGCAAGCUUUGUAAGUAGAGUGACUCACAAGUAUGUUAUCUUUUUUUUUUUUCUGUUCCUUAAGAUCUUGUUCCAGUAAUCACCCUAGCUCUUUCCUGAGCCUGUAGUGACAAUGUAGCCCUGCGAUUAGGAUGAAAUCUGUUGUGAAAGAAGAACUUUGAGCACAUUCUCUGCUUUUGAGUUGUAUUAUAGAACAGGAAAGGCUAAUAAGGUGGACUUCAAAUUAAGGAUUGUGCCAUGGGAAGGUUAAAUUGGCUUGUCUUUACCUCUCCUGAUAAACCCUAUUUACAUGCAGCCUAUACUUUUGAGAUGAGAAACAUCAAGGAAAAUGACAUGUAUAGCUCUGGGGCAGCAAGAAUUGUGCAUUCUCAAUUUGGGUUUCAUUUUCUUCUGCCACUUGCUUUUAGGCAAUUGAGUGUGGGUAGUGACAAGAUAUCAAACCCCUUAGUAUUUCCUUUUUGGGAAAUAAGGCACUUUUUAAAAAAAAAAAAAAACUUAUCCACCUGAGUCCCGAAACAGUUUGACUCUCCAGUUUUCUGGCCUACACUCUAGUCAGCUCUGAUCCAAGUUUUUGUAGAACAAACAGCCUUGCUUUAAGCCAUGUCCUGUUGUGGGCCAUGUAACAGCUGAACUGUCAUAGCCUGGGGGCAGGCUGAUAGCCAGGGUGUCUUGGCUGGAAGAGAUUUUGGGCAACUGACUUGCCUUUGGUCAUUAGAAAGCCUCCGAGGCCUUUUAAAAUUUUUGGUGGGGUUUGGAGGGAAAAAACAUAAAAUGCCACUUUAUAACUCCAAUAAUAACCUGUAAUUUAUAUUUAUUGUGUGAAUUUUUAGUCCUAUAUUUUAAUAAUUUGUAAAUUGAUCUUAUUCCAAGAAUCCUUUGAACUUGCAGGAGAACAUCUGGGAAUCCAGCCUCCUGUCCGGAUCCUGAUCCCUACAUUCAGACUGUUUAAUCCACUUUGGGAUGGAUCAAAGAGUCUAGAGAGACCACUCGUAGGUCCAGCUGCUGGCCUCCUGACUCUCUAAAGCCUUCACUGGAAUUGGAACAUUAGCUCCAGCUCUAGCUGUGAACGUGACCAGAGACAUUAUUUAUAAUUCAGCCAUUUAAGAUAUACCUGUACUCAAAAAGUCUUGUAUAUUUUUUAAAAGUUUUAUUUUUAAGGUGAACAAAAAUACAUUCUAAGAACUCUACAUAA